GUGCUCAUUUCGUUAGCACAUAUACUAAAAUUGGAACGAUCCAGAGAAGAUUAG
Molecule: small nuclear RNA, 54 nt
Filed under: Echinops telfairi (small Madagascar hedgehog)
Lineage: Eukaryota; Metazoa; Chordata; Mammalia; Afrosoricida; Tenrecidae
Source: RNAcentral